This 138-nucleotide ribosomal RNA is filed under the name uncultured bacterium. RNAcentral's name for it is "partial 16S ribosomal RNA". It matches the Rfam family "Bacterial small subunit ribosomal RNA", at positions 355 to 509 of the family's 1533-position model. The record is from RNAcentral.
UGGGGAAUAUUGCACAAUGGGGGAAACCCCUGAUGCAGCGACGCCGCGUGAAGGAAGAAGUAUCUCGGUAUGUAAACUUCUAUCAGCAGGGAAGAUAGUGACGGUACCUGACUAAGAAGCCCCGGCUAAUUACGUGCC